GGAGUCUGGUCCGUGUCUCAGUACCAGUGUGGGGGACCUUCCUCUCAGAACCCCUACUGAUCGUCGGCCAGGUGGGCCGUUACCCCGCCUGCAACCUAAUCAGACGCAUCCUCAUCCAUCGCCGUAUAAAUCUUUACUUACUAGGAGAUGUCUCCAUGUAAGACCAUCAGGUAUUAAUCUUUCUU
This 185-nucleotide ribosomal RNA is filed under the name uncultured Prevotella sp. Its description in RNAcentral is "partial 16S ribosomal RNA". Lineage: Bacteria; Pseudomonadati; Bacteroidota; Bacteroidia; Bacteroidales; Prevotellaceae. The record is from RNAcentral.